AAUAUUGCGCAAUGGAGGGAACUCUGACGCAGCGACGCCGCGUGAGCGAUGAAGGCCUUCGGGUCGUAAAGCUCUGUUGUCAGGGAAGAACAAGUACCGGAGUAACUGCCGGUACCUUGACGGUACCUGACCAGAAAGCCACGGCUAACUACGUGCCAGCAGCCGCGGUAAUACGUAGGUGGCAAGCGUUGUCCGGAAUUAUUGGGCGUAAAGCGCGCGCAGGCGGUCCUUUAAGUCUGAUGUGAAAGCCCCCGGCUUAACCGGGGAGGGUCAUUGGAAACUGGGGGACUUGGGUGCAGAAGAGAAGAGCGGAAUUCCACGUGUAGCGGUGAAAUGCGUAGAGAUGUGGAGGAACACCAGUGGCGAAGGCGGCUCUUUGGUCUGUAACUGACGCUGAGGCGCGAAAGCGUGGGGAGCAAACA
RNAcentral lists this ribosomal RNA (422 nucleotides) under uncultured bacterium. Its description in RNAcentral is "partial 16S ribosomal RNA". It matches the Rfam family "Bacterial small subunit ribosomal RNA", at positions 360 to 774 of the family's 1533-position model. The record is from RNAcentral.